Molecule: unclassified non-coding RNA, 2133 nt
Filed under: Hevea brasiliensis (rubber tree)
Lineage: Eukaryota; Viridiplantae; Streptophyta; Magnoliopsida; Malpighiales; Euphorbiaceae
Source: RNAcentral
GGAAAAUAUACUUGAGUAGAGAAAAAGAUGGUUUUCUAUUGAGCAAUUAAUACAGGAGAGGAAGAUAAGUAAGACUAUACAGUGAUAAGCAAGACUAUACAGGAGGAAACAUUAUAAUAAUAAAACUCACUCACAAGAUUAAAAAAAAAAAAAAAUGUACAGCUGCAGAAUAACAUUUGAGAAGGGACAAAGAAUGUCAAGCCAUAUUCCUCAUCUUUACUUGGAUCAAAGGUAAGAUGUGCUUGAAAUUCUGCAUCUUUUGAUCAUACAAAAUGAAUGAAGAUGUUUGUGGACGUUGGGGAUCGAAAUCCACUGCCUACAAAUAGAUAAAUAAAUAAAUAAAAAGCAGAAUGACCAGCACAAGAAAUAAGUUCAAUCUCAGAAAUUAGGUAGGAAAACUAACAUUCCAACUCAAAUCCAUUUUUUAAAGUCUAGUAUCCAUCACCAAUCUCGACUGAGCAUUCUUCUGCAUGGGACGCGUGGAAUGUGCUACAGAUUAAGGGUUCACCCAUGACAAAGAAUUUAUAAAUCAAACAUACCUGAAGUAAUGGAGUUUGGUGAGGUAAUUCAUGCUGGUCAGAGUAAAAGUUUGAUUGCUGGUAUAGAUUAGGAUUGUCUUGAUUGCUUAUGACUGGAUUCUGCUGUUGGUACAUGCACUGAACCUCCUGAUUAGACUCAAAAUUAUACAAACCCUACAUAAUUUACAUGGAAGAUCACAUAAUUUUGAGUAACAAAACCUAGGAAAUAAAAGACAAUAGACAAAGCAAGCAUGACUUUCGUGAUCAACAACUGAGAAUCACCUUCAGCAAAGGAUUUGAUGUUGGGGCUUCUGUUGAAACACAUGCUUGUGGUUGUGCUUGUGGGGGACUUGAAACAAAAUUAACUGUAAAUGGGGUGCCACGGCGGGUUGUAGUGCACUCGGAUAUCCUUUUUUCUUAGGGUCUUUUUCUUUCAUAUAUUUCAGUAGGAAGCCAUCAGGGGCAGCACCCUCGUCUUUUAUUCCUGCUAGUCUGUUGUCCUCAUCCUAAUCCGCAGCUGCUCGCUCAUCCAAGAAUAUCUCCGCAUUUUCACUCUCAGAGCCAUUUGCAGCAAUGCUACUUGAGGUGAUGCCAUGAGCCGCCUCAGGUUUUAACGUCAAAAUCUUCUCCACUUCUUCAAUCACUUCAUUGAGUUGUCUUGAAGCGAACUGAAAUGCUUUCCCUAUUCAGUGGCUCUGGCUACAAUUUUAAGCAUUCUGUCGCACAAAGAUUUGUACCUGCUAGCUGCAACCAACUUGGGUUGUUCUUGUGCAAUGAACUCUUUGCUUUCUUGCAUACCUCCAAUCCUUGCAUCUUUUGUCCAUCUCUUCAUAUAUAUUGGGAGGGAACCACCUUUAUAUUCUUAUUAUCAAGUACUUUCAGGGCAUGGCCGCACAGAAAUCCUACAUUUUCAAAUUUCAUACAACUGCAAAUGACUGUAUCAUCUGAUGGAUUGAAUGUGACAGAAAAUUCUCUACUUCGCCCAAAUGUUUUCAAGCGAAAGGCCACUCUCACUGCACUGGCUAACAACAAAAUUUAAACACUUCUCAUAUUCUCUCUGAAAUAUUUCAAAUGCAUUUGGCGUGUAAAUAUCACUUGCAUGCUUUAGCAAAACUACAUUCCCCAUUAACCUUGGCAUGCAUCUAGUCAGCUCAUCAUUAGCUUGUAUUUCUUUGUGUUGCUGAUCUACCAUCCUCUCAAAAAUCUUGAAAAAAUGGAGUGCAUCUAGAUCAGAGUUUAAGUUACUUCUCAAGUUGUUAUGUAAAUCUUCAGCCACAUGAAAGCCUUUGGCAUUGAUAAAAAAAAUAUAUUCCUGCCAUAUACGACAGCCCAUUUAUCUCUUUCUCUAAACAUCCAUCUUAGCCACUCAUUUUGCUGAAGACUAUAUUUAUCCAGCAAAGCCUCCCAGGCAUGAAUGAAAUCCUCCUCAUCAUUGAGAUCAUAGAUACAACUUCUAAAAUCACUGGAAAAAGAUUCAGUAUCCUUCAAUGCAUGGCUAAGUUGGUUAAGAGCAUUCUGGUACAUCUGCCAAACGCAGAUACAAUGGCUUGUUUCUGGCAAGACAGAUUUAAUUGCUUCAACAAUUGCCGCAACCUGAUCAGUGAGAAUAACUUUU